GAUGUAGGGCGCGAGCGUUGUCCGGAUUUAUUGGGCGUAAAGAGCUCGUAGGCGGCUUGUUGCGUCAGCUGUGAAAACCCGCAGCUCAACUGUGGGCUUGCAGCUGAUACGGGCAGGCUUGAGUUCGGUAGGGGAGACUGGAAUUCCUGGUGUAGCGGUGAAAUGCGUAGAUAUCGGAAGGAACACCAGUGGCGAAGGCGGUUACCUGGAGCUUUGCUGACGCUGAUGCGCGAAAGCGUGGGGAGCGAUCCGG
This 253-nucleotide ribosomal RNA is filed under the name uncultured bacterium. RNAcentral's name for it is "partial 16S ribosomal RNA". It matches the Rfam family "Bacterial small subunit ribosomal RNA", at positions 524 to 776 of the family's 1533-position model. The record is from RNAcentral.